UGAUCAAGAGAACAAGAGCACACGGUGGAUGCCUUGGCGCCAAGAGCCGAUGAAGGACGUGGGCGGCUGCGAUAAGCCCGGGGGAGAUGCUGACCAAUCGCUGAUCCCGGGAUUUCCGAAUGGGGAAACCUACGCGUGGUAAUGCGCGCGUGUUCCCGCCUGAAUACAUAGGGCGGGUAAUGGCAAGCUGGGGAACUGAAACAUCUUAGUACCCAGAGGAAAGGAAAGAAACCUCGAUUCCCUGAGUAGUGGCGAGCGAAAAGGGAAGAGCCCAAACCUCGACGACGUGAUAGACGGCAGUCGUUGUCGUCGGGGGGUUGUAGGGCCUGUCUCGAUCCGUCUGCCGGCGGGUCGGCGAGUUACAAAGUUGUGCGUUAGUCGAAGUGAAUGGAAAUUCACACCGCAGAGGGU
RNAcentral lists this ribosomal RNA (411 nucleotides) under Actinomadura lepetitiana. RNAcentral's name for it is "Actinomadura sp. DSM 109109 partial 23S ribosomal RNA". It matches the Rfam family "Bacterial large subunit ribosomal RNA", at positions 1 to 365 of the family's 2925-position model. Lineage: Bacteria; Bacillati; Actinomycetota; Actinomycetes; Streptosporangiales; Thermomonosporaceae. The record is from RNAcentral.